Molecule: ribosomal RNA, 702 nt
Filed under: uncultured fungus
Lineage: Eukaryota; Fungi
Description: SSU rRNA
Rfam family: Eukaryotic small subunit ribosomal RNA
Source: RNAcentral
AGGAAGGCAGCAGGCGCGCAAAUUACCCAAUCCCGAUACGGGGAGGUAAUGACAAUAAAUACUGAUACGGGGCUCUUUUGGGUCUCGUAAUUGGAAUGAGAACAAUUUAAAUCCCUUAACGAGGAACAAUUGGAGGGCAAGUCUGGUGCCAGCAGCCGCGGUAAUUCCAGCUCCAAUAGCGUAUAUUAAAGUUGUUGCAGUUAAAAAGCUCGUAGUUGAACCUUGGCUCUGGCUGGCCGGUCCGCCUCACCGCGAGUACUGGUCCGGCUGGAGCUUUCCUUCUGGGGAACCUCAUGGCCUUCACUGGCUGUGGGGGGAACCAGGACUUUUACUGUGAAAAAAUUAGAGUGUUCAAAGCAAGCCUUUGCUCGAAUACAUUAGCAUGGAAUAAUAGAAUAGGACGUGCGGUUCUAUUUUGUUGGUUUCUAGGACCGCCGUAAUGAUUAAUAGGGAUAGUCGGGGGCGUCAGUAUUCAGCUGUCAGAGGUGAAAUUCUUGGAUUUGCUGAAGACUAACUACUGCGAAAGCAUUCGCCAAGGAUGUUUUCAUUAAUCAGGGAACGAAAGUUAGGGGAUCGAAGACGAUCAGAUACCGUCGUAGUCUUAACCAUAAACUAUGCCGACUAGGGAUCGGACGGGAUUCUAUUAUGACCCGUUCGGCACCUUACGAGAAAUCAAAGUUUUUGGGUCCUGGGGGGAGUAUG